RNAcentral lists this small RNA (727 nucleotides) under Arabidopsis thaliana (thale cress). Its description in RNAcentral is "ATSL078950". Lineage: Eukaryota; Viridiplantae; Streptophyta; Magnoliopsida; Brassicales; Brassicaceae. The record is from RNAcentral.
UUUAAUAUUAUUUAGUUUUUAAUCCCUACAAAAAAUAUCUAAACAAAAUAUUCUAUAGUACAAAACUUACAAAUCAUCAAAUAAUAUUUAAUCCUUACUUAAAUAGUUUCCUUUCGUGAGGUCCAACUUCUUAAUAUUUACACUUGAGUAAUUGCAUAAUAUGUCUAUAAAAACUUAAGGCCCAAUAACCAUCCAAAAACUGCAAACAUAUCCAACUCAUCAUAUGUCUAAAGAAACUUAAGGCCCAAUAACCAUUGAAAAUUCGUGUUUUGCUCCCCAAGCAAAAUAUAUAUGUUAUCGAAAGCCGUAUUUAGAAUACAAUAACUGCGUUUCUGCGUAGCAAUUAAUUCGAAGUCCAAGCUCAAACUAACACAACUAGCCAUCCUAACAUAAUCACCUUGGAAGAAGAAUUUCCAAGGUUUCAUGUUGACUGGUGGUGGCGGUGUAGAAUGCAGACAUGAAGAAUUUGACAGUGGAGAUGAAAGAAGAUCGGAACAUGGAGAGGAAGGCGGGUACCACUCUGUUUGCUCAACAAGCGGAGAGGACGGUGGAGAGAAAUUCUGGUAAAACUGAUACGACUUUGUUUGCUCCAUAGGCGGAGUGAGCAGUGGAAAACAAGUCUGGUGAAACUGAUACGACUCGGUUAACAAAAAUUUAUGAUAAAAAAAAAAGUAAAUUAAAUUGAUAAAAAGUAAGCAAAACAUAAGAAACAAAUGGAAAAAAAAAA